RNAcentral lists this unclassified non-coding RNA (222 nucleotides) under Glomeraceae sp. Its description in RNAcentral is "partial contains 5.8S ribosomal RNA and internal transcribed spacer 2". The stretch from base 1 to 71 matches the Rfam family "5.8S ribosomal RNA", at positions 84 to 154 of the family's 154-position model. The record is from RNAcentral. Lineage: Eukaryota; Fungi; Glomeromycota; Glomeromycetes; Glomerales; Glomeraceae.
GUGAAUCAUCGAAUCUUUGAACGCAAAUUGCACUCUCUGGUAUUCCGGAGAGUAUGCCGGUUUGAGGGUCAGUAUAAAUAAAAAUCGGAGUGGUUGUUGCUUUUAGUGGUGAGGCAUUGGAUUUGGGUGGUUUUGCCUGAGGUUAAGUGACGUUAAUUUUUGCUUGAUUUUUUUCGUAUGAAUUUAAAUGAUGUUACGUACGUUUGGGUUAUAUAAUACUGG